This 482-nucleotide ribosomal RNA is filed under the name uncultured bacterium. RNAcentral's name for it is "partial 16S ribosomal RNA". It matches the Rfam family "Bacterial small subunit ribosomal RNA", at positions 30 to 507 of the family's 1533-position model. The record is from RNAcentral.
UGAACGCUGGCGGCAGGCCUAACACAUGCAAGUCGAGCGGAUGAAGGGAGCUUGCUCCUGGAUUCAGCGGCGGACGGGUGAGUAAUGCCUAGGAAUCUGCCUGGUAGUGGGGGAUAACGUCCGGAAACGGGCGCUAAUACCGCAUACGUCCUGAGGGAGAAAGUGGGGGAUCUUCGGACCUCACGCUAUCAGAUGAGCCUAGGUCGGAUUAGCUAGUUGGUGGGGUAAAGGCCUACCAAGGCGACGAUCCGUAACUGGUCUGAGAGGAUGAUCAGUCACACUGGAACUGAGACACGGUCCAGACUCCUACGGGAGGCAGCAGUGGGGAAUAUUGGACAAUGGGCGAAAGCCUGAUCCAGCCAUGCCGCGUGUGUGAAGAAGGUCUUCGGAUUGUAAAGCACUUUAAGUUGGGAGGAAGGGCAGCAAGUUAAUACCUUGCUGUUUUGACGUUACCAACAGAAUAAGCACCGGCUAACUUCGUG